CUAUACAUGCAAGUCGAACGCGCAGCGAAAGGUGCUUGCACCUUUCAAGCGAGUGGCGAACGGGUGAGUAACACGUGGAUAACCUGCCUCAAGGCUGGGGAUAACAUUUGGAAACAGAUGCUAAUACCGAAUAAAACUUAGUAUCGCAUGAUACAAAGUUGAAAGGCGCUACGGCGUCACCUAGAGAUGGGUCCGCGGUGCAUUAGUUAGUUGGUGGGGUAAAGGCCUACCAAGACAAUGAUGCAUAGCCGAGUUGAGAGACUGAUCGGCCACAUUGGGACUGAGACACGGCCCAAACUCCUACGGGAGGCUGCAGUAGGGAAUCUUCCACAAUGGGCGAAAGCCUGAUGGAGCAACGCCGCGUGUGUGAUGAAGGCUUUAGGGUCGUAAAGCACUGUUGUAUGGGAAGAAAUGCUAGAAUAGGGAAUGAUUUUAGUUCGACGGUACCAUACCAGAAAGGGACGGCUAAAUAC
RNAcentral lists this ribosomal RNA (473 nucleotides) under uncultured bacterium. Its description in RNAcentral is "bacterial SSU rRNA". It matches the Rfam family "Bacterial small subunit ribosomal RNA", at positions 49 to 504 of the family's 1533-position model. The record is from RNAcentral.